AGAAGGAAGGUAUAUGCAGCACCUAUUUUGUAGAAGCAACAACGUUAUUUCUUUCCAUAGCAGUAGCAACGUUUUCCUUCCAAUUUCAACAAAGAGCAACAAGUGUUCUUCUCUUAUUUCAAAGAUUAAGUAUAGCUAUUUUUCUUCAUCGAUUUCAUGGUUAUGACAUUGGUUUUAUCCGGAUCUUAGCAAGUUGGAAAUAUACCUUGUGGUGAAUUAUCCUAAGAUUGAGGCGAAAAGAGCGACGAGGCAAAAAGGAUUCACGAAUAGUCGCCGACAGGUACAGAUAGUCGGUUUGGUGACCCUUCAGCAUAGGACUUCUACUCAGCUAUCUUGGAGAGCUCCGUUGUUCCGGAGUUUAGACUUUCAGUACAGAUCUUGUGAGAUAUAUGUAUAUGUUAUCCAGGGGUAUGGCGGGGCCCUGUCCCGUCAUAUGUUACUGUUGAUACUCUUAGAGGUCUGUAGACAUAUAUGUGGGUUGUGUACAGGUUUGAUCAGCUGUGUCUUUGUUUAUGGGUUCUGUUCAGCUGUGUCUAUACGAUGUGCUGUGGUAUGAUAUUCGUCUAUAGUGGCAGCCUUGUCGGCUUGCAUGUGAUAUUGAUAUGUG
Lycium barbarum (goji berry) is the source of this 607-nucleotide long non-coding RNA. RefSeq lists it as uncharacterized. The transcript has 3 exons. Lineage: Eukaryota; Viridiplantae; Streptophyta; Magnoliopsida; Solanales; Solanaceae. The record is from RefSeq and is a predicted model, not a curated record.